AUGUCUGGGUCGGGCUCGGGCUCCGGCGUGUGGGUGUUCAAGAACGGCGUGAUGCAGCUGCAGCCGGAGCAGCCGGCGGCGGGCCGGAAGGCGCUGCUGUACGUGCCCACCGGCGAGAGGAUGACGACGCUGGAGCUGCUGGAGCGGCGCCUCGGCGCGCACGGCUGGGAGCGCUACUACGAGAACCGCGACAUCGUGCAGCUCCACCGCCGCGACGGCGGCAUCGACCUCAUCUCCCUCCCAAGGGACUUCACCAAGUUCCGCUCCACCCACAUGUACGACGUCGUCCUCAAGAACCGUGACAGCUUCAAGGUCGUCGACGUCCCAACUUAA
This 333-nucleotide ribosomal RNA is filed under the name Triticum aestivum (bread wheat). RNAcentral describes it as "partial small subunit ribosomal RNA". The record is from RNAcentral. Lineage: Eukaryota; Viridiplantae; Streptophyta; Magnoliopsida; Poales; Poaceae.